Molecule: ribosomal RNA, 502 nt
Filed under: uncultured bacterium
Lineage: Bacteria
Description: partial 16S ribosomal RNA
Rfam family: Bacterial small subunit ribosomal RNA
Source: RNAcentral
GACGAACGCUGGCGGCGUGCCUAAUACAUGCAAGUCGAACGAACCGCGACUAAGUGCUUGCACUAAGUCAAGGUGAGUGGCGAACGGGUGAGUAACACGUGGGUAACCUACCUCAUAGUGGGGGAUAACAGUCGGAAACGACUGCUAAUGCCGCAUAGGACAUAGGAUCACAUGAUCCAGUGAGGAAAGGUGGCGCAAGCUAUCGCUAAGAGAUGGACCCGCGGUGCAUUAGCUAGUUGGUAGGGUAAAGGCCUACCAAGGCGAUGAUGCAUAGCCGACCUGAGAGGGUGAUCGGCCACAUUGGGACUGAGACACGGCCCAAACUCCUACGGGAGGCAGCAGCAGGGAAUCUUCCGCAAUGGACGCAAGUCUGACGGAGCAACGCCGCGUGAGUGAAGAAGGUCUUCGGAUCGUAAAGCUCUGUUGUUAGAGAAGAACAGCGCAUAGAGUAACUGCUAUGCGUGUGACGGUAUCUAACCAGAAAGCCACGGCUAACUACGUG